Molecule: ribosomal RNA, 459 nt
Filed under: uncultured bacterium
Lineage: Bacteria
Description: partial 16S ribosomal RNA
Rfam family: Bacterial small subunit ribosomal RNA
Source: RNAcentral
CCUACGGGAGGCAGCAGUGAGGAAUAUUGGUCAAUGGUCGGGAGACUGAACCAGCCAAGCCGCGUGAGGGAGGAAGGUACAGAGUAUCGUAAACCUCUUUUGUCAGGGAACAAAGACUGGGACGCGUCCCCGGAUGAGUGUACCUGAAGAAAAAGCAUCGGCUAACUGCGUUCCAGCAGCCGCGGUAAUACGGAGGAUGCGAGCGUUAUCCGGUUUGUUUUGGUUUAAAGGGGGCGCAGGGGGUCUGUUAAGUCAGCGGUCAAAGCCCGGGGCCAAACCCGGGCCCGCCGUUGAAACUGGCAGUCUCGAGUUGGAGAGAGGUAUGCGGAAUGCGCGGUGUAGCGGUGAAAUGCAUAGAUAUCGCGCAGAACUCCGAUUGCGAAGGCAGCAUGCCGGCUCCACACUGACGCUGAGGCACGAAAGCGUGGGUAUCGAACAGGAUUAGAUACCCGAGUAGUC